CGACCGGCGCACGGGUGAGUAACGCGUAUCCAACCUGCCCUUUACUAUGGGACAGCCCGUCGAAAGGCGGAUUAAUACCGUAUGUUGUCAUGUUGAUGCAUAUUUUCAUGACCAAAGGCUCCGGCCGGUAAAGGAUGGGGAUGCGUCUGAUUAGCUUGCCGGCGGGGUACCGGCCCACCGGGGCGACGAUCAGUAGGGGUUCUGAGAGGAAGGUCCCCCACAUUGGAACUGAGACACGGUCCAAACUCCUACGGAAGGCAGCAG
This 264-nucleotide ribosomal RNA is filed under the name uncultured bacterium. RNAcentral describes it as "partial 16S ribosomal RNA". It matches the Rfam family "Bacterial small subunit ribosomal RNA", at positions 92 to 354 of the family's 1533-position model. The record is from RNAcentral.